GGCCUCGUGGCCCAAUGGCAAGGCGUCUGACUACGAUUCGAGCAACUCUUGAGUUGUCUAGAAUGUUAUCAGGAGAUUCUGGGUUCGACCCCCAGCGAGGUCA
Molecule: non-coding RNA, 103 nt
Organism: Xylariaceae sp. FL0594
Lineage: Eukaryota; Fungi; Ascomycota; Sordariomycetes; Xylariales; Xylariaceae
Source: the annotation of a GenBank genome assembly